Molecule: ribosomal RNA, 958 nt
Filed under: Hafnia sp. HMSC23F03
Lineage: Bacteria; Pseudomonadati; Pseudomonadota; Gammaproteobacteria; Enterobacterales; Hafniaceae
Description: bacterial LSU rRNA
Rfam family: Bacterial large subunit ribosomal RNA
Source: RNAcentral
UUUAUGGGGUGACUGCGUACCUUUUGUAUAAUGGGUCAGCGACUUAUAUUUUGUAGCAAGGUUAACCGAAUAGGGGAGCCGUAGGGAAACCGAGUCUUAACUGGGCGUCAAGUUGCAAGGUAUAGACCCGAAACCCGGUGAUCUAGCCAUGGGCAGGUUGAAGGUUGGGUAACACUAACUGGAGGACCGAACCGACUAAUGUUGAAAAAUUAGCGGAUGACUUGUGGCUGGGGGUGAAAGGCCAAUCAAACCGGGAGAUAGCUGGUUCUCCCCGAAAGCUAUUUAGGUAGCGCCUCGUGAACUCAUCUUCGGGGGUAGAGCACUGUUUCGACUAGGGGGUCAUCCCGACUUACCAACUCGAUGCAAACUACGAAUACCGAAGAAUGUUAUCACGGGAGACACACGGCGGGUGCUAACGUCCGUCGUGAAGAGGGAAACAACCCAGACCGCCAGCUAAGGUCCCAAAGUCAUAGUUAAGUGGGAAACGAUGUGGGAAGGCAUAGACAGCCAGGAUGUUGGCUUAGAAGCAGCCAUCAUUUAAAGAAAGCGUAAUAGCUCACUGGUCGAGUCGGCCUGCGCGGAAGAUGUAACGGGGCUAAACUAUGCACCGAAGCUGCGGCAGCGACACUUAGGUGUUGUUGGGUAGGGGAGCGUUCUGUAAGCCUGUGAAGGUGACCUGUGAGGGUUGCUGGAGGUAUCAGAAGUGCGAAUGCUGACAUAAGUAACGAUAAAGCGGGUGAAAAACCCGCUCGCCGGAAGACCAAGGGUUCCUGUCCAACGUUAAUCGGGGCAGGGUGAGUCGACCCCUAAGGCGAGGCCGAAAGGCGUAGUCGAUGGGAAACAGGUUAAUAUUCCUGUACUCGGUGUUACUGCGAAGGGGGGACGGAGAAGGCUAGGCUAUCCGGGCGACGGUUGUCCCGGUUUAAGCGUGUAGGGGGUGUGACUUGGUAAAUCCGGU